GGAAAAUUGGGAAGUUGGGAUCUCAAAGUACGGUAAGAGCAUGAACUUUUUACAAGCUUUUUGCACUUAAUUGACAGUAAAUGUAAUUACAAACUAAUUUUGCUGCGAUUUAUUUGUAGUUUUGUUAAUUAAUAGGAACCUUGGUUAUCAUGCCAGUACAAUAGUGCAUUAACCGAUUAACUGAGUAGUCGAAUAUCUCAAUAUUUAUGAAAUUUACUACCUGACGUGGAAACAUAAAUUAUUGUUAAUUAUUACCACUGAGCUGUAUAAUACUGAUAUUUUUCUGUGUUGGACUGUUGGUGGUAAUAUACUCAGUGAAUAUGAUACUUGUGAUGUUACUCUGAAGCCUCGUUUACAUUACGCUCAAUUUUUGAUACGGCACGGAUAAAAUUGGUACCCGUACCACUUUUUUGGUUCUUGGACAGUUGAACAACCUAUUUGGGUAGUCCAAGAACCAAAAAGUGGUAUGGUACCAAAAAUUGAGCGUAGUGUAAACGGGGCUUAGCUAAAUAGGUAGUCCAAGAACCAAAAAAGUGGUACGGGUACCAAUUUUAUCCGUGCCGUACCAAACAUUGAGCGUAGUGUAAACGGGGCUUGAGUGUGUAUCCAGUAUCCACACCGGGCAAGCUUGAAAAAUAUGCUUGGCCACGGUGGGAAUCGAACCUACGCGGUCAGGUCGUAGCUCAGUUGGCAGAGCAUUGGGUUAGUAUUCCAAAGGUCAUAGGUUCGAUUCCCACCGUGGCCAGACAUAUUUUUCAAGCUUGCCCGGUGUGGAUACCCACUCAGAGUAACAUUACAAGCAUCAUAAAUUAUUCUGUUAAAGGUCUUAAAGCAUUUGCCCAUUCUCGUACCCCUCGUCGCGCUCCGUUGACCGCGCGUAAGAAGGGCUCUGGGUACGAGAAUGAAGCCAAUCUUGAAGGCCAGUCCCAGUCUUUUCACGCUUGCGAAGAGCGUUCAAUCAGUCAAUAGUCAAUCAGUAGUAUAAAUACGUGUGUCUUGGUCUUGACCCCGAGAACACGCAGGCAGUUUGUCUGAAGGUAGCGUUCCAGUUGUACUUCAUUUUAAUGAGCAUUGUCCCAUUACUAUUAACUCUAUUUCCAGUGAUAUGUUGCACGGUUUUGGCAUUGGAUCAUGCGAUUCAUGCCAUUUUUUUUUCAAACAUGUUCUGGUUUUUAAUAAAUUACUAAAUAUGAAACUGGCAUCUGAUUGGCCACAAUAAAGGUUAUUUUUCUAAUAUCACCGGAUAUAUUCUAUGACCAUGCUUUUAUGGUAUCGAUCCGGUUAUGGAUUUGGCCAGAGCCCCUCGUCGCGCUCGGUUGACCGCGCGUAAGAAGGGCUCUGGGUACGAGAAGGCAAAACGGCCGUAUUUUCAAGAAACUCGCCCCAGUCUCCACGGAAUCAGUUGUCACUGCUAUAUCUCACAAAACAUCUCACAACUAUAUAUAUGGCUGACUCGUACCCAGUCGUCAAUUAUGGGUACAUACUACAUGCACAGAUAAGUGCCUUGAUCAUUCCCAUCAUGCACCAUUAUUUUUUCAGUCCUCAUUUUCAGGGACUAGGUACGAGUCAGACUAAUUUUUGCUGCAUAUAUAUUUUUUAGAUUCAGAUUUCAGAUUUAUUUUAUUAAACAGAAAUCAGAGGCAUGUAUGACUUGAUUAAACGUCAUAAAAUAGUUCGUUGAAAACGGAGUUGGCAGAUUAUGCGACCUUCGUUAGCUGUUCUUAAUGCUUUCCCAACACUAUCAUACAUUAUAUUUAAGUUAAAUUACGUAGUUGGGUUGGAGCUUGAAAUGUCCCCUACGAAAAGCUAGUCGUGAUUUUCAACUCUCGUCUGAAAUGUUAUCCUCAUUUGAUCGGAGCUUAAGUAACGAUUAAAUCCACUAGGGCGACUGCAAUGGCUACGGUAAACAACUGUUAAUUUUUAACGUCCUUUGAUUUUGUCCUAAAUAAUCCACUUUACCUUUUAAAUAGGAAAAUGAACAACUUCGGUGUGUGAUAAUUCGAGUACUUAUACGUACCAGAGGUACGCCAUUAUCACGUUUUACGUAGGUACACGGAACUGUUGCUAUCUGUGUACUUACUUCUUGCUGGUACCAUAUGCGACAUAUGACCUUUCCAAGUCCAAGGUAUUCAAUGGCCAUAAUUCACAUAAUUUAGUUGGUAUAUGUGCAAGUCUGAUAUGUCUUGGCAUGAAACAUAUGAUUGCACUAAUGGGACUGAGGAAUGUUGGAGUCAAUUGUAGUAUUUGUAUACAUACAAUUGUGCUAGUUGUUCUAACACGUAGAUUGAAUACCUUUCAGAAACCUGUACUUUAUGUACUUUAUUUUAAAGACCAAGCACACGUUGAGUAUUGAGUUUGUACCAGCGCAAUUACUUGGCAAUGAUCAUUGGAGUACCAGUCAGGUACGCGGACUAAAAAUCUUGAAUUAUCGUACCCUGAUCUUACCUUAAGACGUGGCAACAGACAAGAUAACACCAGACGUUCGUCGUUAUUAGACAUAAUGUUUCAUUUUCUCAUUCACUGUAAAGAUGAAAGUUAGCCACACUGUUCACAUCAGUGGUAAUACUUUUCCCAAACACCUCAGCAAUACCAUGGACCACUAUAAUUCUAACAGCUGUAUAAAGACCAAAUGACCAAUGAAAAUAUGUUGACUUGUAAAUUCAAUCAGAAUCAUUCGCACAACUUUAUACAACAAAGGUGCUCAGUGAGACAUUUGUACAUACAGUAAUUACCAUGCAAAUUUCUCAUAUAACUAUUAAAAUAAUUAGUGAAGCGUAGCGCGCAUAGCUAGCGCAGUGAACUCAAUUUAUUUGAGUUCACUGAGCUAGCCUUGACUUCAUCACUUUGAUUUCUUCUAAAUUUAAUUUAGUCUUGUGUUAUGUUGUUUGUUUUCAAAAGAAUGAAGUCGGGACUGUGCGUGUGUAAUGCGACGUUCCAGUAAUUCUGCAAAAUCUAAUGUUAAAAUAAAAACCGAAAUGAAAUGAAUUUACCUAUUUUUUAGGUUAAAAAGGUGUGGUAAUAAAAAUUUAGCUUGUCCCAUUUGCAAGAACAUUUAAUAUUAUAUGGAAAACUUUUUACAGCUUCUUCAAUUGCUUAGUUCUCAAAAUACUUGGACCAAAAUCAUCAUAAAUAGCAAUGAAUGAGCGGUCGGCCAUCUUGGAUUAUUGUGGAUAAUAAAUGUUACGUCACAAGCAGGGAUCUGAACCCGAAAAGACCAAAAUUAUACUUCGGUCACCAUUUCAAGUAAAAUGUGACUGACAACGUUUCUAUUAAGCAUCUACUAACUGUUAUUUAGUCGCAUAGAAGUAGUUUUAUAUGACUAUUAACCGUUGCUUGACACACCAAAACCACAAUCUUGUACCCAGAGUAUGCCCGUUCGCAGGUUAGGUGUUGGGCCAUGCCCUGCAGUAGCCCACUACGUUAUUCAACAUUGACAUUGUCUUUUAAUAUAGCAGAAAACGAUAUUUAAAAACAUUGUCAUUGUCUUUAUAGCCGACUAUGUGAAUCAAAGCGCGUUAAUUAUUUAAUAAUACAUGUUUAUUUUCCUGUUUAUGACUAACUUGUUUAUGUCUGACUUGUUUUUUACUAACACAAAAGAUCGUCCAUGUAUUAGCCCCCCCCCCCCGUAUAUAAGCCCCCCCCCUUGUAUAAGCCCAUCAAAAAUCGCUUACGAAAGUAUAUAAGCCCAGGGCUUAUAGUCGGAGGUUUACGGUAAUCAUAUAGAGGCGGGCAAAUAUGAUUGGCUAAUGAUGAGGGUAUUGGUCAAAAUUACGUGUACCUGAUUGGCUGAGUGACGGAAGCGCGGAAAGUUUCUUGUUUUAAAUAGCAAUAAAAACAAUGGCUUCUCGCUUUGUCGUUGCAGAUAAUGAUGUUAUUGAAGAAUUAGAAACUUCUAUAGUGAAAACUGGAACAUUAGAAAAUGAACAAAUUUAUAGGUUGGAGUAUUUAAGAAAUGGGCAGCAGUAAGGAACAUCGGCGAAGACAUGGAGACAUACGAGGUUCAAGAACUUGACAAAGUUCACAAUUUACGAAUUAAUAAAUUGUACAAGAAAACACAAAAGAAAUCUUGACCGUGUAGGAGUUUGUAUAUCUGAUACAAAAUCAUCCUGAUUUACAUAAACUUUAAAAUUUAUUUCUCACCAGAUAUCAUUCAUUAAUUCAGUACGUUGUGGAAGAAUACGAAUGUUCUCAUGAAGAGUCAAGACGUUACACAACCAUUUACAAUAUUCGCGUCCGUUAACAUAUAUAGUUCGAGCUUUUAUUUUAAUUAAUUGAUUAAUAAUAUUGUACAAUCGGUAGUGAAGAAAUGAAGAGCCACUCUGACUCUAUGGAUACGAUGUAAUUCAUUGAGUCAUUAUUAUAUUAUUAUUAUCCAUCAAGAAAAUUCAAAAGAAAUCAAUGGUAUCCACAUAUUAAAAAUAGCUGAUUUGCAUAAACUGCUUCUUCCUCGA
This 4451-nucleotide long non-coding RNA is filed under the name Paramuricea clavata. The stretch from base 675 to 745 matches the Rfam family "tRNA". Lineage: Eukaryota; Metazoa; Cnidaria; Anthozoa; Malacalcyonacea; Plexauridae. The record is from RNAcentral.